Molecule: transfer RNA, 71 nt
Filed under: bovine gut metagenome
Rfam family: tRNA
About the family: Transfer RNA (tRNA) molecules are approximately 80 nucleotides in length. Their secondary structure includes four short double-helical elements and three loops (D, anti-codon, and T loops). Further hydrogen bonds mediate the characteristic L-shaped molecular structure. tRNAs have two regions of fundamental functional importance: the anti-codon, which is responsible for specific mRNA codon recognition, and the 3' end, to which the tRNAs corresponding amino acid is attached (by aminoacyl-tRNA synthetases). tRNAs cope with the degeneracy of the genetic code in two manners: having more than one tRNA (with a specific anti-codon) for a particular amino acid; and 'wobble' base-pairing, i.e. permitting non-standard base-pairing at the 3rd anti-codon position.
Source: RNAcentral
GGGGAUUAGCUCAGUUGGUAGAGCGCCUGCUUUGCACGCAGGAUGUCAGGAGUUCGAAUCCCCUAUCCUCC